GACGGAGGAUGCGAGCGUUAUCCGGAAUUAUUGGGCGUAAAGCGUCCGUAGGCGGUUAUUCAAGUCUGCUGUCAAAGACUACAGCUCAACUGUGGAAAGGCAGUGGAAACUGAGGAACUGGAGUGCGGUAGGGGUAGAGGGAAUUCCCAGUGUAGCGGUGAAAUGCGUAGAUAUUGGGAAGAACACCAGUGGCGAAGGCGCUCUACUGGGCCGUAACUGACGCUGAGGGACGAAAGCUAGGGGAGCGAAAGGG
This 253-nucleotide ribosomal RNA is filed under the name uncultured cyanobacterium. RNAcentral's name for it is "partial 16S ribosomal RNA". It matches the Rfam family "Bacterial small subunit ribosomal RNA", at positions 524 to 776 of the family's 1533-position model. The record is from RNAcentral. Lineage: Bacteria; Bacillati; Cyanobacteriota. RNAcentral also lists the same sequence under 1 other name.